GACGAACGCUGGCGGCGUGCCUAAUACAUGCAAGUAGAACGCUGAAGAGAGGAGCUUACUCUUCUUGGAUGAGUUGCGAACGGGUGAGUAACGCGUAGGUAACCUGCCUUGUAGCGGGGGAUAACUAUUGGAAACGAUAGCUAAUACCGCAUAACAAUGGAUGACACAUGUCAUUUAUUUGAAAGGGGCAAUUGCUCCACUACAAGAUGGACCUGCGUUGUAUUAGCUAGUAGGUGAGGUAAUGGCUCACCUAGGCGACGAUACAUAGCCGACCUGAGAGGGUGAUCGGCCACACUGGGACUGAGACGCGGCCCAGACUCCUACGGGAGGCAGCAGUAGGGAAUCUUCGGCAAUGGGGGCAACCCUGACCGAGCAACGCCGCGUGAGUGAAGAAGGUUUUCGGAUCGUAAAGCUCUGUUGUAAGUCAAGAACGGGUGUGAGAGUGGAAAGUUCACACUGUGACGGUAGCUUACCAGAAAGGGACGGCUAACUACGUG
This 497-nucleotide ribosomal RNA is filed under the name uncultured bacterium. Its description in RNAcentral is "partial 16S ribosomal RNA". It matches the Rfam family "Bacterial small subunit ribosomal RNA", at positions 28 to 507 of the family's 1533-position model. The record is from RNAcentral.